GCUGGCGUCAUCGCAUUGUUAGUCCGCUCUCUGUGGGGCUUCCCGUUUAAAAAGUUGCCUGAUAUGACUUCUAAAUACAUAUUUACUUAACGUGUUAACAGCAUGGUUAGUAGAAUCCUCUAACAAUCACGUUUCCUCACUACGUGGCUGCAUUUGCAGAAUUUUCUAGAAGUAAGAUAUAUCCAGGUAUAAUUCAUCUCGCCAUCGUUGUUAAAUCUGGAAAAAAGUUGAGCAAUUGUAAGUGGAGGACGUAAUCUUUUCAAGUUCCUGAAUGGAGCCAAUUUCCCGUGGAAAUUAUAAAAUUAAUUACACUUACAUAUUUUAGUAGUUUUGGAAAACGGUGGUUUUCAACUGAGGUCAAAUUUGAAAUAUUAAACAUGGCUGAGUGCUGGAUGGGGUCAAGUUGCAGAAUGACAAAAAUACAAUGGAUAGUUCUUAUCAUUUUUCCUGCGGUAUUUGGACAUCCAAACCCUUACAUCUUGAUGCCCCCAUUUAGAAACGUCCCAAAAAUUCCCACCGUGGGGAUGAAUGUCCGACCAGCUCAGAUUCCUGAAAUUCUCAGAUCACAAUCUCAGACGUUUCACGGCCCAAUUAUA
Molecule: long non-coding RNA, 596 nt
Organism: Folsomia candida
Lineage: Eukaryota; Metazoa; Arthropoda; Collembola; Entomobryomorpha; Isotomidae
Exons: 3
Source: RefSeq, a predicted model, not a curated record